CCGUAACUAUAACGGUCCUAAGGUAGCGAAAUUCCUUGUCGGGUAAGUUCCGACCUGCACGAAUGGCGUAAUGAUGGCCAGGCUGUCUCCACCCGAGACUCAGUGAAAUUGAACUCGCUGUGAAGAUGCAGUGUACCCGCGGCAAGACGGAAAGACCCCGUGAACCUUUACUAUAGCUUGACACUGAACAUUGAGCCUUGAUGUGUAGGAUAGGUGGGAGGCUUUGAAGUGUGGACGCCAGUCUGCAUGGAGCCGACCUUGAAAUACCACCCUUUAAUGUUUGAUGUUCUAACGUGGACCCGUAAUCCGGGUUGCGGACAGUGUCUGGUGGGUAGUUUGACUGGGGCGGUCUCCUCCUAAAGAGUAACGGAGGAGCACGAAGGUUGGCUAAUCCUGGUCGGACAUCAGGAGGUUAGUGCAAUGGCAUAAGCCAGCUUGACUGCGAGCGUGACGGCGCGAGCAGGUGCGAAAGCAGGUCAUAGUGAUCCGGUGGUUCUGAAUGGAAGGGCCAUCGCUCAACGGAUAAAAGGUACUCCGGGGAUAACAGGCUGAUACCGCCCAAGAGUUCAUAUCGACGGCGGUGUUUGGCACCUCGAUGUCGGCUCAUCACAUCCUGGGGCUGAAGUAGGUCCCAAGGGUAUGGCUGUUCGCCAUUUAAAGUGGUACGCGAGCUGGGUUUAGAACGUCGUGAGACAGUUCGGUCCCUAUCUGCCGUGGGCGCUGGAGAACUGAGGGGGGCUGCUCCUAGUACGAGAGGACCGGAGUGGACGCAUCACUGGUGUUCGGGUUGUCAUGCCAAUGGCACUGCCCGGUAGCUAAAUGCGGAAGAGAUAAGUGCUGAAAGCAUCUAAGCACGAAACUUGCCCCGAGAUGAGUUCUCCCUGAGACUUAGAGUCUCCUGAAGGAACGUUGAAGACGACGACGUUGAUAGGCCGGGUGUGUAAGCGCAGCGAUGCGUUGAGCUAACCGGUACUAAUGAACCGUGAGGCUUAACCUUACAAC
Molecule: ribosomal RNA, 1002 nt
Filed under: Salmonella enterica
Lineage: Bacteria; Pseudomonadati; Pseudomonadota; Gammaproteobacteria; Enterobacterales; Enterobacteriaceae
Also listed under: 1 other name
Description: partial 23S ribosomal RNA
Rfam family: Bacterial large subunit ribosomal RNA
Source: RNAcentral